Non-coding RNA from Maylandia zebra (zebra mbuna), 251 nucleotides. NCBI's taxonomy places the organism in Eukaryota, Metazoa, Chordata, Actinopteri, Cichliformes, Cichlidae. The record is from RefSeq and is a predicted model, not a curated record.
GGCUGUUGCCAGUGGUCAAAGCCUCCAACAAAGCUCUACUGAGUGGUUGUAACCUGUCAGACAGAAGCUGUGAAGCUCUGUCCUCAGUCCUGAGCUCCCAGUCCUCCCAUCUGAGAGAGCUGGACCUGGGUAACAACAACCUGCAGGAUUCAGGACUGAAGCUUCUGUCUGCUGGGAUAAAGAGUCAAUACUGCAAACUGGAAACGCUGAGACUGAGUGGCUGUAACCUGUCAGACAGAAGCUGUGAAGCU